UCCGGGGCUCUUAGCCCAUGUAUCACCGAACGCGUGGGGACACUGGUCUCGGACUGGAUCACAGCCUCCUGGUCUGGGCUUUUCUUUCCCUGACAGUUGGCAACUCAGGUGGAAAAUGGAAAAGCCCCCGAUGCCCACCCUGGGGAGAGCAGCUUCCUAGCCGUGGACGGUGAUGCCGGCUGUUCACGCAGGCGGUGGUUCAAGACCAAGUGCCGACCUGCAGGAAGAGGCAUGCAGUCUCACUGUGUCACCUGCUGAGCGGAACCUCCCUCCUCCCCGGGGACCCGCGUGGAAGCCUGGCCUUGGGUCCCUCUGCCCUGGCCCCGGGCACACAGCUGCUCCCCUGUCGAAACUGCACAGGAAGCAAGCGAAGCAUGGGGCCAGAGACGCCCACGAGCGGCGGCUCUGCUGCAGGAGCUGGUCUUGGUUGGCACCAGUCGAGCUUCUCCUUCCCACCUUCUCCAAACAGACAGUCGGUCACUGCUGAGCAAAGCAGGAGAAGGAAGCUGACUGAUGGAUGCGCGCGUCUGUCUCCGCCGGAAACCCAGUCCUGCAAAGGCCACGACACCCGCUCUGCACGCUCAGCACCAAACGGUUUCCCCAGAAGAGGUACUGGCAUGCUGCUUUAAAAAGUACAACGGACGCGUUCCUGCCACGGCACGGUAGGUUGAGGAUCUGUCUGCAGCAGCUCAGGUCACUGCUGGGGCGUGGGUUCCAUCCCCACCCGGCGCAGUGGGUUCAGGGAUCCGCCGUUGCCGCAGCUGCAGCUCCUAUGCAUUCUGGGGCUGGGAACUUCCACUGUAGACACAAGUGUAUGUUUUAUCCUCUGUAAACCCCACAGGCAGCACUGGCGGAAUGACAGAGUUGACUUCAGGGUUGGUUGUCUGGGGACAGCUCUGCCUCCUCUGCGUCCACAGUUCUGUACGUGGACACUGCAGAAAUCGGGCCCGAGUUUAUAGCCGUCAUAAAAAUAUUGAGGCGUUCCUGCUGUGGUGCAGUGGAUUAAGAACCCAAAUGCAGCGGCUCUGGUUGCUGCAGAGGUGCAGGUUUGAUCUCCAACCCAGCACCAUGGGUUAGAGGACCCAGCUUUGCUGCAGCUGGCCCAGGAACUCCCAUACGCCUCAGGUGCGGCCAUAAAUCUUCAUUUACAUAAAUAUAUAUAUGUACACGUACAGACAUAUAUAGAGCAAGAUUCAUCUUUAUCUGGUUUUAGUAUAUGUUCCUACUGGGAGUCAGGAAGUUGCUUUGAUUUUUGCGCAGAUUCCAGAUUUAACCUUAGAAGCACUUGUAAGCCUGACUUUAAAUGUUCCAGGAGUUCCCAUUGUGGCUAAGCCAGUUAAGAACCUGCCUAGUAUCCAUGAAGAUGUGGGUUCGAUCCCUGGCCUCGCUCAGUGGAUUAAAGGAGCCAGCCUUGCUGCAAACUGUGGCAUAGGUCACAGACGGGGCUCAGACCUGAUGUUGCCGGGGCUGUGGCUCUGAUUUGACCCCUGGUCUGGGGACUUCCAUAUGCUGUAGGAGAAAAAAUAUUAAAAUAAAGGGAAUGGGGUGUUCCCGUCGUGGCUCGGUGGUUAACGAAUCCAACUAGGAACCAUGGGGUUGCAGGUUGGAUCCCUGGCCUCACUCAGUGGGUUAGGGAUCCGGCGUUGCCGUGAGCUGUGGUGUAGGUCGCAGACUUGGCUCGGAUCCCGCGUUGCUGUGGCUCUGGCGUAGGCUGGUGGCUACGGCUCCAAUUAGACCCGUAGCCUGGGAACCGCCAUAUGCCGCGGGAGCGGCCUUAGAAAGGGCAAAAAGACAAAAAUAAACAAACAAAUAAAUAAAUAAAUACAGUAAAGGGAAACGACGGACAUUCGGGACCUUGCCCUGCAGUGGCGUGUGCUGAGAAUUUGUUCGGUUUACAUGGUGUUUUCUACUUGAAACUGCUUUGAAACAUCGACAGAUGCCGCGGUAUCCUUCUGCCAGAAAGGCGUUUUUCAAAAGGAAGAGCCGAGGGCCCCGGGGAGUUCUCCCACCCCGCCCUGACCCCCAGACCUGAGCACGCCUGCCCUCUGUUCCCUCCUUUCCUGCUCUUUCACCACGAAAGGAGGAGGCGGCCGGUCCAGAAAGGGUGUAACGUGUUGUUUCACAUCUCCUCUCAUUACUCAUCAGCCCUCACAGAUCACCCCAAGGAUGGGUAUGGCAAAGACUUAAGGGAAAGGCAGAUUAUGGAAAGGCAGCGAUGGCCAGGGAAUUCCUAGGUGGCUCAAGACACACCUUGCGUGGCUGACUCAGCCUCAGCCUCAGCCGCAGACCUGCGGCCGACCGGGCUGGGGGUGCCCGCGCAAAAAAAACCCCGACUCUCUCCUCCUCGCCGUCCACCAGAAGCCCACACACAUUCCGACAAACAGGCACGAAUCUCAGAAAAUUUAACGUCACUGCACGAAAGAUGUACUAGAAAUCAAAUGUCCACAUCCAGCUGGCCGGCUCCAUUAUCAUGUCCCCGUGAAAAAGGUACCCAGAGCUGGUAUCCCCCGCAUCCAGGUGCAUGGUUGAAGGUGUCUGGCAGGAGGAACCAAGAUUUUUAACCAUUUCUACCUACUUAAAACCCAAUUCCUCCUCUAAUCAUUUAUUCUAAGUAAACAAUUAGAGACGGAUUUAGCUGAGGUACAAAAUAUCCUGUGCAAAAUGGUUUAUAACAGUCAGAAUAUCGACAGCAUGGUAAGUACCCCCCACAGGGGAAAUGCCCAAGUGCACUACGGCCACACAACAGAGCGCCAGCCGUUCCGACCUCAAACCCCCGGUCCCCCCGCCCUCCCCACGCUGCACCGUGAAGCCAGCCGUUAACCCUAGGGUCUGAGGUCACCCUGGCGGUGUCAAGGCCCAGCUCUGGAACAUCCUAACCCUUAGUUCCCGUAUGAAAAUAAUGAGGCUACCAGAGGAUUGAAAAAUCGUUAAUGAAAAGCGCUGAGACAUACGAUGCUUCAUAAAUGCUUCCAGCAACUUCGGUUACACAGAAGUCGCCAGGCACUUCCAGGGAUACCCACGCUGUGUUCCACACCCAGAAAGUCUAACGCAGGUGGUCUGGGGUGUAGACCAAACACCCAGACUGUCGCAGCUAAGCAGGUGGGUUCUNNNNNNNNNNNNNGGGAAAGAGGCUCAUGUUGGCCCAAGGUUCUUAAUCGUAGUGGCAAGCUGGUCAGCGAAUAACCAGGAGCAGGCACAGGCCCUCCCAGGAGGAAGGUCAUUGACCAGCCAGCUCACGGCAACCAGCUCUUCCCGAGGUCACUGUCCCCGCACAAAGCAGCACAGGUGCUGGUGCGGGAAGAGGCUGUGGCCUUGGGCUCCAGCCAGAGGUUAAAGGUCAGAGCUGCCGCAGCAGCUGGAAAUGAGAACCAUCCCAGGGAGGAGCAGGCGAGGGAUCACAGAUCAGUGCGGGGUCCCUGAGUCCUGAGCAGCUUAUGAUCUGAGCAGGAAGCGGCACCGUGGCGGAGCUGCUGGGCGUCUGCGUUCCUCGACCUGGCUCAGCAAACCCUGCAGGCGGCUCCUGAAAAACUGGACCGGCCACAGCUCUGGCUGGCGGCCGGGCCCGAGAAGACAGGUCCACACAGUGCUGAGGACCCGGCAGUGACUGCAACGCCUCCUGGAGCAAACGCGGCACGUUCCAGGCCAAGAUGGGACGAGUCGUCUCUGCACGUCUCAGGCACGAUCCCCUGAACAGACAAGCAAGAACUGGACAACGCGACCGAUAAUCAGGAUAAUGGACCUAGACGUAUAGAAAACUUACAUUUUGAAGGUAGCAGAUGAGCCGUUUAAACAGCCACGCUACGUACCUGAAAGGAUUCGCCAGCCAAGUGUCAAGAAGGCCGCGAAGUGGGGGGUGAUGCUGGCCGCGAAGUGGAAACUUCAGAAAGAAAACAAAUGGAGACCCUCGUGUUGAAAAAACCCUGGACCCAAAUGAAAAAUGCGCUCGACAGGCCUCCCGAAAGAUGGGCUGCAGAGGAGGGCUUCACCGCCUUGAAAACAGGACAAGAGAAAUGACCCAUUUUCGGAACCACAAAGAGGAAAAGUCCUGCGGAAGAACAGCAAGUGGUCGGUCUCCGGACCUGAGCCGGAGCCCAGGGGACGGACAGAGGGAAGGGGCAGCUGUUCAGAGAGACCACGGCCACUUCCCCUCAAAUGGCGAGGGCAGGAGUUCCUGCCGUGCCUCAGUGGUUAACGAAUCCGACUAGGAACCAUGAGGUUGCGGGUUCGAGCCCUGGCCUUGCUCAGUGGGUUAAGGAUCCGGCGUUGCUGUGAGCUGUGGUGUAGGUCGCAGACGUGGCUUGGAUCCGACGUUGCUGUGGCUGUGGUGUAGACCAGCAGCUACAGCUCUGACUCAACCCCUAGCCUGGGAACCUCCAUAUGCCGCGGGUGUGGCCUUAAAAAGCAAACGAAAAACAAACAAACAAACCGAAAAAACUGCUAGGACACACACAGAGCCAAGUAGCUCAGCAACCCUGUCAUGUUAUAGACAAAGGACAGAUCUUAGUCAAACUUUUUGAAAAAUGAGAAUGAGGAGAAAAGUCUGAAAAAAUACUAAUAAGAAAAAAGGAGGGAGUUCUUUGGUGGCUCAGCAGGUUAAAGGUCCCAUGUUGAGGAAUCCCCGUCAUGGCGCAGUGGUUAACGCAUCCGACUGGGAACCAUGAGGUUGAGGGUUCGAUCCCCGGCCUUGCUCAGUGGGUUGGGGAUCCUGCGUUGCCGUGAGCUGUGGUGUAGGUCGCAGACGCGGCUGGGAUCCUGCGUAGCUGUGGCUCUGGCGUAGGCCAGCGGCUACAGCUCUGAUUAGACCCCUGGCCUGGGAUAUGCCGCGAGGAGCAGCCCUAGGAAAGGCAAAAAGACAAAAAAAAAAAAAAAAAAAAAGGUCCUAUGUUGUCACUGCUAUGACAAGGGUUUAAUCCCUGGCCCAGGAACUUCCACAUGCUGCAGGUGUGACCAAAAAAAAAAAAAAAAAAAAAAAAAUAAAGUGGAUUAAAAAA
Molecule: long non-coding RNA, 4991 nt
Filed under: Sus scrofa (pig)
Lineage: Eukaryota; Metazoa; Chordata; Mammalia; Artiodactyla; Suidae
Description: lncRNA (ENSSSCG00005019308.1)
Source: RNAcentral